GAGCCUUGAUGUGUAGGAUAGGUGGGAGGCUUUGAAGUGUGGACGCCAGUCUGCAUGGAGCCGACCUUGAAAUACCACCCUUUAAUGUUUGAUGUUCUAACGUGGACCCGUGAUCCGGGUUGCGGACAGUGUCUGGUGGGUAGUUUGACUGGGGCGGUCUCCUCCUAAAGAGUAACGGAGGAGCACGAAGGUUGGCUAAUCCUGGUCGGACAUCA
RNAcentral lists this ribosomal RNA (215 nucleotides) under Escherichia coli. Its description in RNAcentral is "partial 23S ribosomal RNA". It matches the Rfam family "Bacterial large subunit ribosomal RNA", at positions 2126 to 2340 of the family's 2925-position model. The record is from RNAcentral. Lineage: Bacteria; Pseudomonadati; Pseudomonadota; Gammaproteobacteria; Enterobacterales; Enterobacteriaceae.